RNAcentral lists this long non-coding RNA (1136 nucleotides) under Mytilus galloprovincialis (Mediterranean mussel). Lineage: Eukaryota; Metazoa; Mollusca; Bivalvia; Mytilida; Mytilidae. The record is from RNAcentral.
UAUAUACUGCAGCUGUGCUAUUUGAGCAGUCAAAUUGCAUUGACCGUAUAUUCAUAUGUCAUAUACAGUCACUGACCGUAUAUCACCUUGUUUAUGACGUUGACAAUGUGUUUCCGUAGAGUUUUAUUUAUGACGUCAAUAAAACAUACAGGUUCGCGGCAAUUUUACGUUGUCCGCUCACAAUUAAAGAAUGACGGUUUUUACCCUAAAUACUUCAUUUUGAACAGUUAUAAGAGUUGCAGUAUAUAAAGAAUAACCAUACAUUGUCUCAAAAUAUCAAUCUGUUAUUUGUACUCGGCUCGAAACAGGUAGAAAUGCUCGGCACAGCCUCGCUUUCUACCUGUUUCUAAGCCUUGUACAAAUAACAUUGAUAUUUGGAGACAAUGUAUGGUUAUUCUAUAUAUAUAGAGAAUAAUACAUGGCAAAAUCCGUAUCAUAUGUCGUAUCAUCCCGAGACAUCAAUAUCAGCCCAAGGGCCUUUAGGCCCGAGGGAUGAUAUUGGUCGAGGGUGAUACGGCAUGUGAUACGGAUUUUGCCAUGUAUUAUACGCUUUAUCAUAUAUUUCAACAGAAGAGUAUUAUAUUAUAUGAACUGUUUUCUGAUCCCGAUAGAUUAGCACUGGGUUACCUUCAGUUCUGCUUUUGUCUUGGUUCAAAGCCUUAAAAUAACUGCUUAAACAAAGCACCUGGGUUACCUUACCAUUUGCCUGCUGCUGUUUUAAAAAUAUUUUGUUUAUUAUUGUAUUUAUUUGAGUGUUUUGUAUUUUUUAUAGUUGCAUUUAGUGUGCCAAAAAAUAUGCAAACUUGAUGUUCGUGACGUCACAUACAAUAUGAAAACUUGACGUUCGUGACGUUACAUACCAAACAAUGACGUCAUUAAAAAAAAUGACCUAUUUUGAGGAAAUUUUUUCUUAAAAAAAAAAAAAAACUUUAUGUAAAAAAAAAAAAAAAAAAAAAAAAGGUAUGCGAUACGGGUUUUACCAUGCGAUACGGGGUAUGCGAUACGGGUUUAGCUAUGCGAUACGGGGUAUGCGAUACAGGGUAGGUGAUACAGACUGGAAAAACAACCUUUAUUAGAUAUACAAAAUAGCUGUAUUUUGUACUAAAUAUAUGAUAAAAAGAUGUAAUUCAUGUUUG